UACAGAGGGUGCAAGCGUUAAUCGGAAUUACUGGGCGUAAAGCGAGCGUAGUCGGUUAUUUAAGUCGGGUGUGAAAGCCCCGGGCUCAACCUGGGAAUUGCAUUCGAUACUGGAUAGCUAGAGUUCGGCAGAGGGAAGCGGAAUUUCCGGUGUAGCGGUGAAAUGCGUAGAUAUCUGGAGGAAUACCGGUGGCGAAGGCGGCAUCCUGGACCAUUACUGACGCUGAGGCGCGAAAGCUAGGGGAGCAAACGGG
This 253-nucleotide ribosomal RNA is filed under the name uncultured bacterium. Its description in RNAcentral is "partial 16S ribosomal RNA". It matches the Rfam family "Bacterial small subunit ribosomal RNA", at positions 524 to 776 of the family's 1533-position model. The record is from RNAcentral.